AUUUAGUCACAGUUCCAUAUCUCUUCUUUGAACUGUUUAUCUGGGUAUAUGCCCAAGAGAAGAGUCAAUAAAUAGAACUUAAAAAUAAAUGCUUAAUGCUAGAAACUGCACUUUAACUUGCCACACACUGUAAGGUCAUUUGCAACUUAAAAACAACAUUCCCUUAAACAAAACUUGUCCACUUAAGAUGAAGUUAUCUGUUGCACUUGUCCAGUGAGUAAACCAAUCCGAGUAAACCAAUCCAAGUAACCUUCACACAUCAUAUGAUGAAGUGCACAAACUUAAAAGUCCUCAUCACCCUAGUUUCUUUUGUAUUACAGUUCUCCGCGCAUGUACUUUGGCUUCAACUGUUCAAUCCUCUUAAUGUAAUCCCCCUUCUCUAAGCAGUCGUCGCAAGUCUCAUCCCAAUCAUUAAGAAUUUUCUUCAGGUCUCGAACCUUCAAUUUCUUCAAGUCCACAUUGUUCAAGUCAAUUUGCUUCUCAUAUCUAAGCUCGCAAAUCUGUGCAUCCUUCUUCUUUAGCUUCUCACAAACUUUUUCCACGGGCAUACCCCAUGAUAAGGGCUUGGACAUCUCACCAAGGAUUCCAGUUGCAGAUUCUUCUAGCCCACCAAGGUAAUAACAAAAUCUAUUUUCUUUACCUUUGGAAGUUGA
RNAcentral lists this long non-coding RNA (653 nucleotides) under Penaeus merguiensis. RNAcentral's name for it is "partial lncPV06". The record is from RNAcentral. Lineage: Eukaryota; Metazoa; Arthropoda; Malacostraca; Decapoda; Penaeidae.